Non-coding RNA from Lolium perenne, 1897 nucleotides. NCBI's taxonomy places the organism in Eukaryota, Viridiplantae, Streptophyta, Magnoliopsida, Poales, Poaceae. The record is from RefSeq and is a predicted model, not a curated record.
UUAUUGAUGAGAUAUGAGUUCUUCUUUUGAGUGGAAUGUUUCUCUCACUCACCGGUUGAUGGAUCUUCAUCGGAGUUGAAAAGCAGUUCGUUCAUGCUUAAAUUGCCUCUCUUCGCGUCUAGAUAAAUAAUGGGGUUUAUCUUUUGAUACAAAACUGAUAAACUGUGUGUGCUUCUCAUUACUCCAAAUUGGGAAUCAUGGGUGCAAUCAGAGAUUAAAUAAUUUUCAGGUUGAUAUGACUGCAUUGAGUUAGAUGAAAGACAACGACCUCAAAGAUAUAUAUUCGGCCAAUAAUUUUGUUGGUUCCACAUUUUAUCUGAAGAAAUGAUUUCUAAAAUGUACGAAUCCCUUUGGUCCAUAAUGUGAAGAAAGUGAGUGACUAUCAUGAGUUAUUGUGCUCGGAUUAUUCUUCUUUGUGGUCGAUGGCAGCGACAUGGUAAUGUAAGGUCAAUGGGAGAAAAGGGCAGCGUAUACAUUCCUUUUUGGAAAUUUCAUGGAUAUCUACUAUUGGGAUGAAGAAGACCGGUGUUUCAUCUUGAUGCCUCUCCUAUGAAAAUCCGCGACCACUCUUUGUAUAUAGGAUCUGGAGGCAGUGAGAAUUCAUGACCUGUAGGUAAGUCUCUCAGCUUCUCGAUUUCAUAAGCAUCACUAAUGUUUAGGAAUGUCUUGGUACCUGCAGAUUUGGGGUUUUACUUGAGGGGAUCAGAGCUUAGAUAUUCUCAUUAAGGUUGGUGUCCUCUAAUUCUUGGUCAUUCUUGAUCCAUCCUUGGUAAGCUUUAGGCUUUGACAAAAUUUUGUAUUAAUUUGGUUGCCAGCUUGCUCUUCUGCUUAGUUUCUUUAGUAUGUAGUUUGUUCUAGCUCACCAUUUUCUUAUCCAUGUUGAUAUGAUAGUGUUGUGGCCCCUCACGGAGCCCUGGCUGCGCAUCCACGAUAGCCUUCACCCGGAAGGAUUGGGUCUUUGUUCUGUAUAUAUGUUCUAGAGUUAUGCCAUUGGUUUAGCUGUAGAGGAGUUUCAUAUGAUCCCUUGUUGUACUGCACCUGAGGAGGCUACCUUUGUGAUAGAAAGGCGUGAUACAUAAAUAAAAUCAGGAACUAAGCAUGUAAAAUUUUAAAGCUGAAGCGAUGGUAGUUUAUAUGUCAGAAGAUUUUGAUUUCCAAGUAAAAUGAGGAAGUGAGCUUGUACUAUUUUUUCCUUCAAUCUAAAUAUGCUAAACUAUCUUUAUUUCUGGCGUUGGACAUUGUGUGAUAAACUGUCCAGGAAAAUCUGGCCGGCUGUCUCAUCUGAAAUUAGCAAAUCUAGCUGUGCUUUUUCUUCAGGAUGACAAGCCGGAGAAGCUCAUAUUGCAUCACUUCGUCGAGGAGUUGAGUGUGAAAACAUGCUUCUGUGGUAGUUCAACUUUUCACUAGAAAAAGCUUGUGCAUCCAAUUUAUCAUCUAACAUGAUGUUGGGCGAUUGGUUGCUGAAAAUGGAACUCUGAAGGUUUUUUUAAAGGAGAACUCUGAAGGUUAUUUGGCCUCAGAGUGACCAUUACCACCCUACAAAGGAGUGUUUCAGAGCUUACUUAAAGAUAACUUGGUUGAUCUUAUUGAUGUAAAGGUAAUCGAUAUGAUUCAGAUGAAAGUUAGUCGAUAUCUUUACUGUUGCUGUAUUGUAGUGUUGUGCUUUUACAUGCUCUUAAAUUCAGAGAACGAUAAAUCUGUUUUGGAGUGGCUGAAAUGAGAACAUGUAAGACCACAUUAGUGCUGCAGAAUGGUUGGAGUGCCUCAAAUAUUUUUGAAACUGAAUGUCUUUCUACUAUGCAAUUCAUACAGGUUAGGACAGUUUUUUGUGUGAGUAAUUCUCAUAUGCAAUUCAUAUUUAUGUUACCAUGUGAUUUACUCGUAUUUAGUGUAUGCA